AAAAGUUUGAGGUUUUAAAAUUAUAAAGAAGAAAUAAAAAAAAGUGUGAACAAAAAGAUAUAAGAAAAAGCAAGAAAAAAAAUAAAAAAGGAAAAUAGAAAAUACAUAAAAAAAAAAAAUGAGAAAAAAGAAGAAAAAAUAAAAAAUGAAGAGGCAAAAAUAUGAAAGAAAAGAAAAAGAAAAAAAUUUAUAGAAAAUUUUAAAACAAAGGAAAAAGUGAACAAAAAAAAAUGAAAGCACAUAGAAAAAAGAAGAAAAAUUUGAAAGGAGAAAAAGUUAAUGAAAAAUUAUAAAAAUGCAAUAGAAAAUAACCAAGAAUGAUAAA
Molecule: long non-coding RNA, 325 nt
Filed under: Durio zibethinus
Lineage: Eukaryota; Viridiplantae; Streptophyta; Magnoliopsida; Malvales; Malvaceae
Description: long non-coding RNA (DZIB_LNC001924)
Source: RNAcentral